CAUAGAUAAAAAACAAAGUGGGUGUCAUUGGGGUCUUAGCGAGACGCGGGAUUGCCAUUUUUGUGUAAGCGUGACACGUAAAAGUCAAAUUAUUGUGCCGGGAAAACGGAAAAUGACGUCUAGCGGGACACGGGAAAUUACAAAAAAAUGAGAAUUGCUUAUGUACAUAGUGAAAGUGGGAUACGGGAAUCUGACAAAACAGUAAGCGGGAUCCGGGAUCAGAACCCCCCAAUGAGACCCCCAACA
RNAcentral lists this long non-coding RNA (246 nucleotides) under Mytilus galloprovincialis (Mediterranean mussel). Lineage: Eukaryota; Metazoa; Mollusca; Bivalvia; Mytilida; Mytilidae. The record is from RNAcentral.